CAUUUACUUUGAGUAAUGUAUUUAGCUCUUAGAGAUUGAGGUGGUAAAGCCAAAAAAGGUACUUUGCAAAGUCCCAAGUUACUCCUCUUAAGAGUUAUAAUUUCCUUAAGAAAGGAUCUGUCAAAAAAGAAUCAGGAGAGGGGAGAGGAAGGAGACAGAAACAUCUCAAUUUGAACUCUGCAGACCCAAGUAUUUUGAUUAACUCUCUCCAGUCACCUUCUGAAGCUGUAAAACCCACCCUGGGUGACCAACCUGGGCUGCAACCAGCCGAUCACUGCCUGCCCCUACCACCAUGGAGGCAUUACCAUCAGCCUGCAGUUCCUGCUCCAGCACCUCGUGGGUCCAAGUCCUCCAUUCAGUUGCUCUUCAUCCUCAUACACGUCAGUAAGAGCCCUCCCACAGCCGCUGGCUGGUGCUUGCACUUGGGCUAUUUAGAAGGAGAUAUGAGACUGCAGCCAGAGGGAAUCCUCCUGGAUGAUCCAUCUCUGCAAGCACGGACAAGGCCAGCAGCAGUGAGUUCAAGACUAGCAUCUUGCACUGCUCCCAAAGGGUUCUGGAUCUAGUCCCAGCUACUUCUCUUCUUCCAGGACAGCAUGGUCAGACAGCACUGGAAAGCAUAAUGUAUUCCCUUUGGGAGCAGAACCAAAUGAUGCAGCAAUAGAAACUCCCAAGUCUUUUGCACAAAGCAACUUGUCAAUGGGAGCCCCACAAGCUCACCCAAUGAAAAAAAAGACUAAUCCAUUUCCAGUCCUGCCUUCCUGAACAUGAGAGAUGCAGCCUCAGCCCUCUGCACAGAGAAUCUGCAUUAACUAUAGGACAGAACUUUAAAUAAAGCCAGGCAAACAUUCCUUCUGAUCCAUCAAGAAGUGGCAUUGACAAAGAGGAAGGCAAACGAAGAGCCCAUGGGACACAGGAGGUCUGGGCCUGAGAAAUGCAAUGGGCCUGCAAAGCACUGAUGGCAAAGUUUUUAAAAUAAAAAAAAAUUACUGUGGAAAGAUGCCAGCACUCCAAAGCAGUUCUUGAGGUAGUAUAAAUCACCAUAACAUUACUGUGCCUAAUUUAUGACAGCUACAGGCGGCACCAGGGACUCUCACUGCUGUGUGCUCUGGCAGAAGAGAAAUUCAGGUAUAGCAGUGAGGUGCCAGCACAGACACUUUUACACUGGGCGGGUGUUGGGAGGCAAAUGGCAACAUCACCAGCACAACUUCAGUGUUCAGCUGUCUGAGAAUUUGAAAAGGAAAAAGCCUUUUUUUUUCUUUUUCCACCUCAUAAACUACUCAUAGCACUGAUGAGGAAGACAGAACCUGAGUGCACAUUUUUGGAAAGCACAUUUGAUUAUCUUCUGGAAAAAAUUAGUCUCUCUCUGAACAUGAGACUGUUUCAUGCCAGAGUAAAGAGCACAGAAACCCACAUAUAUGAUACUUCAUUGCUCUGUAGCCAAUUUUGUUGAUUAGUCAUUAGGAUAUGAGAAGAAAAUAGUUAAUGUGCUGUAACCAAUCUGCAAAUGUUAUAAAAUCUGCAAUCAUAUGGAACUAAUUUUAAGUGAAAUGGGAUGAUCUACAAAUUACAGGCAUAGGAUUACUACAAAAGGCAUGGAGAAAAGCAGGCAGGAAGGCAACAAGCAGAUCAAUAUCCUGCUGAGGAUGAACAAUGGUUAGGAGAACAAGGCAGCUCACACACUCAAAGAAAAUUAUUUUUGAGAACUGAUACAAAAUGAAUGCUGACUAAAUUUAAGAUGUCUGAAGACUCAUUCACUACCAAAUAGGGUACCAACAAUACCACCUUUGCAAGAGUCAGCAGGACAGCCACUAGCCAGCAGGAUGGCUUGGCCUUCAGCUUGAAUGGAUGUGGGGAUGCGGGACUGCUGCUAAACCCUUUUGUGAGUGGGAGCUCAUCAGCCAUCAAAUUCCUGGGGAGCUACAGGUCCUGGAGGCUUCCCUGAACAUCUUGCUUUCACUGCCAUCCUUUAGGAAAUUUUUCUCACCUCAGCUCUGACAUAUAUGGUGUGGCAUGUGCAGCCACAUGGAGACUUUGGGGCACAGCUCGAAUACUCACUUCAGCAAGAAGCCCAUUUUGUCCUAAGAAAACAACAAUGGGGAUAUUCCCAUGCCCCUUUAAAAUGGCAAGGCAAAAAUCAUCAGCUGGCAAGGUUAAAAUUGCAAAGCAAAUGCAGACUUUGGGACUCGUGUUCUGUUUCUUCCCUUCCUUUAAAUCAUAAACACAUUUGAAAACAAAGACAUAAUGAAAAUGAAUUUGUAGAAGUAGCACUUGCCCAAAGGUCUGAUGUUGUGCUGUAUUUUGCUCAUUUUUCAAUCCUGUUUCUUGUCCAAAUUUAUACAGCCAUUUGUACUCCCCCUCUCCUUAGAACCCAUAUUUAUAAUCCUGCCUUGAGAUGCUCAUCUAUCAGCCCAGAAAGCAAGACAGUCAUCCUAUUCUUCAAAUGCCCAUCCAGACCUUGGGAGGAAGGUGUGGACUGGGAGGGAAAGGAGAAAAAAGCACUCUUCCUUUUGCUUCCACACUGGUUAUAAACUAUAGAGGAUGCUAAUAUCUAUCAGGGAAACAUCUCACACUCCUGCCCCUUUCCUUUUCCCCUCCUCAAGAACUUCACUUGUGACUCAGAGCCAUUUUUCAAAGACAGUGCCAUUUAGGGUCUCCAGCUAAAGCAGAUCUCCAAAGUAGUGUGUUAGCCUGGCAAUGAAGCCAGACUCUGAUCUCAGAGAAAAUUAAUUUAAGUCUACACUAAACUACUCCCCCCACUAGAAUAACAGAGGUGUGAGUGUCAUCAGCCUGAUCCCUGCCACAUUCUCUGGCCAGCCCAAUUCCCUGGCAUAUCUACCUGUUUCCUGCCUGACUGCUUCCUUUCACCAACAUCCAGGAACACCUGUGCACAGAAAGCUUCCCUAUGCCACCACCUGCCUAUUCCUAUUCCCCAGCAAAGCACGUACCUAUUAGUAGCUAUUAUCAACCGAUUAUUCUGAUGAAAUACAAAGAAAAAAAAAAAAAGGAUUUUCUUGAGCAGAUUGCUGUAAAAGCAAUCUCUUCCCCAUCAGUUCUCCCAAAUCACCCCACUCCUUUCUCACACACCUGCACAUAACUCACAAAAUGAAAACUCCUAAAGCACAGUAAAUUAUUUUACCUACUCCAUCCCUUCUACCUCUUAUCUGUUACUACAACCUUUUGCAAUAGGGGUGCAUUAAAAUCUGAUUUUAAACAUGAAGCUGUAGUCUGUGGUCAUUCUCUUCAGUCAAAAUAUAAACAUAGGAAGCUACAGAUACACAUUUUAUCACAGCAAUGG
Taeniopygia guttata (zebra finch) is the source of this 3295-nucleotide long non-coding RNA. Lineage: Eukaryota; Metazoa; Chordata; Aves; Passeriformes; Estrildidae. The record is from Ensembl.